CCGUAGGUGAACCUGCGGAAGGAUCAUUAAUGAUUGUAUGCCUGUCGAGCUUGCUCACAGGAUUUUACUCAUAUCCAUAACACCUGUGCACUUGUCGGAUGGCUUAGUGAAGACCGCAAGGUUGGAACUAUCCAUCUACUUUACAUAACAAUCCUGUAACAAAUGUAGUCUUAUUAUAACAUAAUAAAACUUUCAACAACGGAUCUCUUGGCUCUCGCAUCGAUGAAGAACGCAGCGAAAUGCGAUACGUAAUGUGAAUUGCAGAAUUCAGUGAAUCAUCGAAUCUUUGAACGCACAUUGCACUCUCUGGUAUUCCGGAGAGUAUGCUUGUUUGAGUAUCUGUAGACAUCUCAACCCUCAAGGCGCUUGCGUCGGGAGGAUUGGACUUGAGCGAUCCCGACUCUUUCUCACGAAAGAGGAGGGUCGCUUGAAAUGCAGGUGCAGCAGGACAUUCUUCUGAGCUAAAAGCAUAUCUAUUUAGUCCCGUCAAACGGAUUAUUACUUUUGCUUCAGCUAACAUAAAGGUCGAAUGCGCCACAAUCGCUGAUUGCAGGAAAACUCGUUCGUAAGAACUUGUAAACUCGAUCUCAAAUCAAGUAAGACUACCCGCUGAACUUAAGCAUAUCAAUAAGCGGAGGA
This 639-nucleotide ribosomal RNA is filed under the name uncultured fungus. RNAcentral describes it as "eukaryotic LSU rRNA". The stretch from base 188 to 341 matches the Rfam family "5.8S ribosomal RNA". Lineage: Eukaryota; Fungi. The record is from RNAcentral.